GCCGGAGUGGCGGAACUGGCAGACGCACAGGACUUAAAAUCCCGCGGUCCCCAUAAGACCGUACCGGUUCGAUUCCGGUCUCCGGCACCA
RNAcentral lists this transfer RNA (90 nucleotides) under Clostridiales bacterium. Its description in RNAcentral is "tRNA-Leu". It matches the Rfam family "tRNA". Rfam says of the family: Transfer RNA (tRNA) molecules are approximately 80 nucleotides in length. Their secondary structure includes four short double-helical elements and three loops (D, anti-codon, and T loops). Further hydrogen bonds mediate the characteristic L-shaped molecular structure. tRNAs have two regions of fundamental functional importance: the anti-codon, which is responsible for specific mRNA codon recognition, and the 3' end, to which the tRNAs corresponding amino acid is attached (by aminoacyl-tRNA synthetases). tRNAs cope with the degeneracy of the genetic code in two manners: having more than one tRNA (with a specific anti-codon) for a particular amino acid; and 'wobble' base-pairing, i.e. permitting non-standard base-pairing at the 3rd anti-codon position. Lineage: Bacteria; Bacillati; Bacillota; Clostridia; Eubacteriales. The record is from RNAcentral.